UACGUAGGCAGCGAGCGUUGUUCGGAGUUACUGGGCGUAAAGAGUGCGUAGGCGGUUUUCUAAGUUUGGUGUGAAAUCUCCCGGCUUAACUGGGAGGGUGCGCCGAAAACUGGAAGGCUUGAGUAUGGGAGAGGUAAGCGGAAUUCCUGGUGUAGCGGUGAAAUGCGUAGAUAUCGGGAGGAACACCUGCGGUGUAGACGGCUUACUGGACCAUAACUGACGCUGAGGCACGAAAGCGUGGGUAGCAAACAGG
RNAcentral lists this ribosomal RNA (253 nucleotides) under uncultured bacterium. RNAcentral describes it as "partial 16S ribosomal RNA". It matches the Rfam family "Bacterial small subunit ribosomal RNA", at positions 524 to 776 of the family's 1533-position model. The record is from RNAcentral.